ACUUAAUUUUAGGGUGCUAUCAAAAUGAUCCAGUAAUUGCGGAAAUGUAAAGAAAAUAUUUAAUUGUGUCUUACACUUAUUUUCUUCUCAUGUGAUUUCUAUUCAGUCAAGAAUCCUGAUUUCCUGUCAUUGUCCGGGGAACAGCCUGAGAAAACCCUUCAGUGGGCUUCAGCAGGGCAUAUCCAAUUCGUCGUCAGGCACAGGGCUCGAGCUAUUCAUCUUGUUUUUCGACUUUAUUGUUCUCAAUGUUGACAAGAAUGAACCGGCAGAGGAUGAGGCAGAGAAUGAGGCAGAGCAUGAGACAGAGGACAGGACGUGCUCUGGCUGCUGCUGCGCUGCUGUUGUUCAGGGGAAAAAUGUUCCAAGUUUUCUUUGAACAAUCCACUUUGAAGGCAUAAAUUAUGCCUUCAGUUUUCACUGUGUGUGCAUGAGUUGUUGGCUGUCAGCUGUCGCCAAGCCGGGCCCCUGCCUCUGCCUCUGCCUCUGGCUCUGGCCACCGCCUUAGCUUCUUCCCAGAUUCUGUGUCCCUGCCAUCUCAUCCUGGCCCUUCCUUCAUUGCAGUCACAAAAGCUUAACUCGCCUUUUGUGCAAAAAGUUUUCGGGCUCGUUGGACGGCUGCAGCCCCUCGGCAUAAGAAAACAAUCUUCAAGGGUUGUCUCUGUCAGUGAGUCUGCCCGACAGCCAGGCAGACACUGUUCGGUAGGUUCUGCUCUGUUCUCUGCCUCUCUUUUGNUGGGGGGGGGGGGG
This 747-nucleotide long non-coding RNA is filed under the name Drosophila guanche. The record is from RNAcentral. Lineage: Eukaryota; Metazoa; Arthropoda; Insecta; Diptera; Drosophilidae.